Molecule: non-coding RNA, 72 nt
Organism: Gekko japonicus
Lineage: Eukaryota; Metazoa; Chordata; Lepidosauria; Squamata; Gekkonidae
Source: the annotation of a RefSeq genome assembly
GGGGCUGUGGCUCAGUGGCAGAGCCCCUGCUUAGCAUGCAGAAGGUCCCAGGUUCGAUCCCUGGCAUCUUCA